Molecule: non-coding RNA, 23 nt
Filed under: Arabidopsis thaliana (thale cress)
Lineage: Eukaryota; Viridiplantae; Streptophyta; Magnoliopsida; Brassicales; Brassicaceae
Source: RNAcentral
ACUCUUUCCGCUGCUCCGGUCUU